AAAGCCGGGUGUGUAUUAAUAAACAUUUUCUCCAGUCAGGCGUUUGUCUUUUAACAUAUUUCCUUUCAGCGUCACCGAUCCCUAGGAAGAGGGUCUAAUAAACCAAGUGAAAGUCAGACCCGUGAUCACCUCUUCCUCUCAUUUCUAAGUUGAGUCAAUGUCAGGAGCUAAACAUCUUCCAGGAACGGAAGCAAACAUAGCAACCACCAGUGGAAUAUUAUUUUCUCUAUGAGGACAUUUUCUGAAACAAUGAUAAAAAUAGCAUUGAAAAAAUUUUAAAUGCCCUAUAUUUUGCUGUUUACUAAAAAUUUUGAACUAAUCCGACUACUUUCUUUUCACCCUUAUUUGUAUGAUAUGAAUAUCAUAUAUAGUACUGGCUUUAAAAGGAAUAGAAAGGGAAGUACAGACUCUCGGUGACAAGUUAGAGUUGGUAAUUACAGCUGACAGUGACGUCUGUCCCUCCUCUACGGACGCAUUGAAGAAUUCCAUGGGGUCGGUAGAGGAGUCAUGUAUGGCUGGGGCACUCCAUUCAAUAGAAAAUGAACACGCUUAUGGUGUGGUAACUAAGAAGUUAGCUGGGGCAAUACUGAAAUUCUUCUUAGAAAAUGGAAACCAUAAAAGGGGAGAAAAGCGAAAGAAAUUACAAAAGGGAAAAAGCAAAGCAACAUGGCUGGGAGUAUAGAAGUACACAGAAACGAAGAAAAGGAAAAAGAAAUAGCCAUGAGAAAACAGAAGUGAUUGAUAAGCGAGGCUUAGAAAACACAUCAUCUUUACAUUUAUUAUGGGGCAAUCAUCAAAAUGUAGUUCAGUGUUAAAUUGUUUAAUUUACGUAGGUGGGGAAUUAAAAAUAUGGAGCUUUAAAAAAUGCAUUUCAAAUGAAUUUAGCUCUCUUAAGGCAUAAAAAUACUGGUUUAAACGUGUCUCCCAUGGGCCAUAAAUG
Molecule: long non-coding RNA, 940 nt
Filed under: Bos taurus (domestic cattle)
Lineage: Eukaryota; Metazoa; Chordata; Mammalia; Artiodactyla; Bovidae
Description: long non-coding RNA NONBTAT025060
Source: RNAcentral